AACGAACGCUGGCGGCAUGCCUAACACAUUCAAGUCGAACGAGCCCUUCGGGGUUAGUGGCGCACGGUUGCGUAACGCGUGGGAAUCUGCCCUUGGGUUCGGAAUAACAGUGAGAAAUUACUGCUAAUACCGGAUGAUGUCUUCGGACCAAAGAUUUAUCGCCCAAGGAUGAGCCCGCGUAGGAUUAGCUAGUUGGUGGGGUAAUGGCCUACCAAGGCGACGAUCCUUAGCUGGUCUGAGAGGAUGAUCAGCCACACUGGGACUGAGACACGGCCCAGACUCCUACGGGAGGCAGCAGUGGGGAAUAUUGGACAAUGGGCGAAAGCCUGAUCCAGCAAUGCCGCGUGAGUGAUGAAGGCCUUAGGGUUGUAAAGCUCUUUUACCCGGGAUGAUAAUGACAGUACCGGGAGAAUAAGCUCCGGCUAACUCCGUG
RNAcentral lists this ribosomal RNA (433 nucleotides) under uncultured bacterium. Its description in RNAcentral is "partial 16S ribosomal RNA". It matches the Rfam family "Bacterial small subunit ribosomal RNA", at positions 29 to 507 of the family's 1533-position model. The record is from RNAcentral.